RNAcentral lists this ribosomal RNA (426 nucleotides) under uncultured prokaryote. RNAcentral describes it as "bacterial SSU rRNA". It matches the Rfam family "Bacterial small subunit ribosomal RNA", at positions 355 to 774 of the family's 1533-position model. The record is from RNAcentral.
UCGAGAAUUUUUCACAAUGGGCGCAAGCCUGAUGGAGCGACGCCGCGUGGGGGAUGAAUGGCUUCGGCCCGUAAACCCCUGUCAUUCGCGAUCCAAACCUGCGACCUAACAUGUCGCAGGCUGAUAGUAGCGGCAGAGGACGGGACGGCUAACUCUGUACCAGCAGCCGCGGUAAUACAGAGGUCCCAAGCGUUGUUCGGAUUCACUGGGCGUAAAGGGUGCGUAGGUGGCGAGGUAAGUCGGAUGUGAAAUCUCCAAGCUCAACUUGGAAAAUGCAUUGGAAACUACCUUGCGCGAGGUUUGGAGGGGGGACUGGAAUACUUGGUGUAGCAGUGAAAUGCGUAGAUAUCAAGUGGAACACCAGUGGCGAAAGCGAGUCUCUGGACAAAUCCUGACACUGAGGCACGAAAGCUAGGGGAGCAAACA